Molecule: ribosomal RNA, 313 nt
Filed under: Enterobacter asburiae
Lineage: Bacteria; Pseudomonadati; Pseudomonadota; Gammaproteobacteria; Enterobacterales; Enterobacteriaceae
Also listed under: 4 other names
Description: partial 23S ribosomal RNA
Rfam family: Bacterial large subunit ribosomal RNA
Source: RNAcentral
ACAGACAGCCAGGAUGUUGGCUUAGAAGCAGCCAUCAUUUAAAGAAAGCGUAAUAGCUCACUGGUCGAGUCGGCCUGCGCGGAAGAUGUAACGGGGCUAAACCAUGCACCGAAGCUGCGGCAGCGACACUAUGUGUUGUUGGGUAGGGGAGCGUUCUGUAAGCCGUUGAAGGUGUGCUGUGAGGCAUGCUGGAGGUAUCAGAAGUGCGAAUGCUGACAUAAGUAACGAUAAAGCGGGUGAAAAGCCCGCUCGCCGGAAGACCAAGGGUUCCUGUCCAACGUUAAUCGGGGCAGGGUGAGUCGACCCCUAAGGC